CGAAGUUUCGAUCCUGGCGUCAGGAUGAACGCUAGCUACAGGCUUAACACAUGCAAGUCGAGGGAAACCGGAUGAGACGUAGCUUGCUCUCUUAGGCGUCGACCGGCGCACGGGUGAGUAACGCGUAUCCAACCUGCCCAAGUUACAGGGGAAUAACCUUGCGAAAGUAAGACUAAUGCCCCAUGGUAUUCUCAGCAGACAUCUAAUGAGGAUUAAAGAUUUAUCGGUAAUGGAUGGGGAUGCGUCUGAUUAGCUUGUUGGCGGGGUAACGGCCACCAAGGCAACGAUCAGUAGGGGUUCUGAGAGGAAGGUCCCCCACAUUGGAACUGAGGCACGGUCCAAACUCCUACGGGAGGCAGCAGUGAGGAAUAUUGGUCAAUGGGCGAGAGCCUGAACCAGCCAAGUAGCGUGCAGGAAGACGGCCCUAUGGGUUGUAAACUGCUUUUAUAGGGGAAUAAAGUGAUCUACGUGUAGUUUAUUGUAUGUACCCUAUGAAUAAGGACCGGCUAAUUCCGUG
This 517-nucleotide ribosomal RNA is filed under the name uncultured Prevotella sp. RNAcentral describes it as "bacterial SSU rRNA". It matches the Rfam family "Bacterial small subunit ribosomal RNA", at positions 1 to 507 of the family's 1533-position model. The record is from RNAcentral. Lineage: Bacteria; Pseudomonadati; Bacteroidota; Bacteroidia; Bacteroidales; Prevotellaceae.